CACCGCGGUUAUACGAGAGGCCCAAGUUGAUAGUCACCAGCGUAAAGCGUGGUUAAGGGAAAAUCAAAACUAAAGCCGAACGCCCUCAGUUAACUGUUAUACGAUAUACCGAAGGUAAGAAGCCCACCCACGAAAGUGACUUUAACAAUACCUGACCCCACGAAAGCUACGACA
Molecule: ribosomal RNA, 174 nt
Filed under: Trachinus radiatus (starry weever)
Lineage: Eukaryota; Metazoa; Chordata; Actinopteri; Perciformes; Trachinidae
Description: partial 12S rRNA
Source: RNAcentral